AGGCAUAGUGUUGUGAAUUUGAAUUUGGGUGUACAUGAUCUUACUAGCUUCUAAUUCUACUGAGCCAUACGGAUGAUGGUGUGUUUGCUCUCACACAUUUAUUCAAAGGAUCAUUGUGAUGAAUGAUACCAAUUCUAGGUUGCUGGUAAUGCAUUUUCACACCAUCCGUAUGCUUGUGGUAGUCAAUAUGAUACAGGAGCAUUAAUCCGUGGAUUUCGUUUUGGUUUUGACAGGAACUUGCAUCCAAUCCUUCUAUUCCCAACUGGUGAGUUUAUAGGUUGCAGUGUUUGUGGUGGUCUCCUCCUGAUGGAGCUCAGUAUAUGCCCUUCUUGUUUACCUAAAAAUCUCUUCUCUCCUAAGAUCUUGUAGGAAUCUUUCUUUUUUCCUUAAGAAGCAUGCUACCAAUGGACGUCAGAUGUUCCAGCACCGAAAAGUUGGUGACCAUGCUUGGGUGUUUCAGAAUUCAUAUGAAAAGCAUUUAUUUUUUACUUUCAGGGAUUGCUCCAUCUUGCAGUUUAUAAUACGGCUGGACAAUUACGAUUUCACAUAUAUCUGAAAAACCACAGCCCAUCUGUGUUCUAUAAACGUUGGUGUGGUCUUAUGUGCACCAAGAAUUCUGUCAUUAACAUAAGGUAUUUUACACCCGCACUGCAAACUGUUGAUAAAUCUGAUGUGUUGUUUGCACUGAGAAUUCUUACAUUUGCGUAAGGUAUUUUACACUGGCGUUGUGAACUCAUUGACGAUUAGCAUUCAUCAGCUAAGCACACCUUGAUGUACGCAGCUUGUAUAUUAACAGGUCUUCAGAAAGGAGUAUAUCCAGUGUUUCUUCUCCUUACCUGUCACAUGCCACAGCUGUGCGAGGAUGUCGUCGGCCGUGUAUUGGGAGAUGGUGCGGUUGUUCUGCCACCGGCUACUCUCCACAGGAGGAAGCACGUACGCAAGCAUGUAAUGGUCAUUUCUUUUUGUAAUUAGCAUGUAAUGGUCAUUGGGUAGCACACGAUGAUCGAUCCAUAUAGGAUGCUAUUAAUCUGG
Molecule: long non-coding RNA, 1032 nt
Filed under: Triticum aestivum (bread wheat)
Lineage: Eukaryota; Viridiplantae; Streptophyta; Magnoliopsida; Poales; Poaceae
Description: long non-coding RNA (TAES_LNC014447)
Source: RNAcentral